This 402-nucleotide ribosomal RNA is filed under the name uncultured Rhodobacterales bacterium. Its description in RNAcentral is "bacterial SSU rRNA". It matches the Rfam family "Bacterial small subunit ribosomal RNA", at positions 353 to 772 of the family's 1533-position model. The record is from RNAcentral. Lineage: Bacteria; Pseudomonadati; Pseudomonadota; Alphaproteobacteria; Rhodobacterales.
AGUGGGGAAUCUUAGACAAUGGGGGAAACCCUGAUCUAGCCAUGCCGCGUGAGCGAUGAAGGCCUUAGGGUUGUAAAGCUCUUUCGUGGGGGAAGAUAAUGACUGUACCCCAAGAAGAAGCCCCGGCUAACUCCGUGCCAGCAGCCGCGGUAAUACGGAGGGGGCUAGCGUUGUUCGGAAUUACUGGGCGUAAAGCGCACGUAGGCGGACUGGAAAGUCAGGGGUGAAAUCCCGGGGCUCAACCCCGGAACUGCCUUUGAAACUCCCGGUCUUGAGGUCGAGAGAGGUGAGUGGAAUUCCGAGUGUAGAGGUGAAAUUCGUAGAUAUUCGGAGGAACACCAGUGGCGAAGGCGGCUCACUGGCUCGAUACUGACGCUGAGGUGCGAAAGCGUGGGGAGCAAA